Molecule: ribosomal RNA, 519 nt
Filed under: soil fungal sp. DM2-108
Lineage: Eukaryota; Fungi
Description: eukaryotic LSU rRNA
Rfam family: Eukaryotic large subunit ribosomal RNA
Source: RNAcentral
ACAGCUCAAAUUUGAAAUCUGGCCCUAGGCCCGAGUUGUAAUUUGCAGAGGAUGCUUUUGGCGCGGUGCCUUCCGAGUUCCCUGGAACGGGACGCCAUAGAGGGUGAGAGCCCCGUCUGGUUGGACACCAAGCCUUUGUAAAGCUCCUUCGACGAGUCGAGUAGUUUGGGAAUGCUGCUCAAAAUGGGAGGUAUAUGUCUUCUAAAGCUAAAUACCGGCCAGAGACCGAUAGCGCACAAGUAGAGUGAUCGAAAGAUGAAAAGCACUUUGGAAAGAGAGUUAAACAGCACGUGAAAUUGUUAAAAGGGAAGCGUUUAUGACCAGACUUGGGCCGGUUAAUCAUCCAGCGUUCUCGCUGGUGCACUUUGCCGGUCCAGGCCAGCAUCAGUUCGCUGCGGGGGAUAAAGGCGUCGGGAAUGUGGCUCCUCGGAGUGUUAUAGCCCUUCGCGUAAUACCCUGUGGUGGACUGAGGUUCGCGCUCUGCAAGGAUGCUGGCGUAAUGGUCAUCAACGACCCGUC